UGACUGCCGCGGAUACUCCCACCUCGGGC
This 29-nucleotide non-coding RNA is filed under the name Bombyx mori (domestic silkworm). Lineage: Eukaryota; Metazoa; Arthropoda; Insecta; Lepidoptera; Bombycidae. The record is from RNAcentral.